GACGAACGCUGGCGGCGUGCUUAACACAUGCAAGUCGAACGGUGAAGGGACUGGUUUUGCUGGUCCUGGAUGAGUGGCGAACGGGUGAGUAACACGUGAGUAACCUGCCCCCUUCUUCUGGAUAACCGCAUGAAAGUGUGGCUAAUACGGGAUAUUCUGGGUCUGUCGCAUGGUGGGCCUGGGAAAGAUUGCGCCUUUUUUGGUGUUUUUGGUGGGGGAUGGGCUCGCGGCCUAUCAGCUUGUUGGUGGGGUGAUGGCCUACCAAGGCGGUGACGGGUAGCCGGCCUGAGAGGGUGGACGGUCACACUGGGACUGAGACACGGCCCAGACUCCUACGGGAGGCAGCAGUGGGGAAUAUUGCACAAUGGGCGCAAGCCUGAUGCAGCGACGCCGCGUGAGGGAUGGAGGCCUUCGGGUUGUGAACCUCCUUCGCCAGUGAAGCAGGCCUGCCUCUUUUUGUGGGUGGGUUGACGGUAGCUGGAUAAGAAGCGCCGGCUAACUACGUG
Molecule: ribosomal RNA, 506 nt
Filed under: uncultured bacterium
Lineage: Bacteria
Description: partial 16S ribosomal RNA
Rfam family: Bacterial small subunit ribosomal RNA
Source: RNAcentral